Long non-coding RNA from Diceros bicornis minor, 5065 nucleotides. RefSeq lists it as uncharacterized. NCBI's taxonomy places the organism in Eukaryota, Metazoa, Chordata, Mammalia, Perissodactyla, Rhinocerotidae. The record is from RefSeq and is a predicted model, not a curated record. The transcript has 4 exons.
GAACCAAGAAGAGCUGAUGUCCUGGUUUGAAGGUCGUUCGGCAAGAGAAUUCUCUUACUCCGGGUGGGCCAGCCUUUUGUUCUAUUUAGAACUUCAACUGAUUGGAUGAGGCCCACUCACAUUAUGGAGGGCAAUCUGCUUUACUUAGUCCACCAAUUUAAAUUUUUUUGUUUGUUUGUUUGUGAGGGAGAUCAGCCCUGAGCUAACAUCCAUGCUAAUCCUCCUCUCCUUGCUGAGGAAGACCGGUUCUGAGCUAACAUCUAUUGCCAAUCCUCCUCAUUUUUUUUUUUCCUUCCCCAAAGCCCCAGUAGACAGUUGUAAGUCAUAGUUGCACAUCCUUCCAGUUGCUGUAUGUGGGAUGCGGCCUCAGCAUGGCUGGAGAAGCAGUGCGUCGGUGCACACCCAGGAUCCGAACCCGGGCUGCCAGCAGUGGAUCGCGCUCACUUAACCGCUAAGCCACCGGGCCGGGCCCUAAAUUUUAAUCUCAUUCAAAAUCACCCUCACGGAUACACCCAGAAUAAUGUAUGACCAAAUAUGUGGGCACCCCAUGGCCCAGUCAAGUUGACACAUAAAAUUUGUAAGUGCAAUGGUCAUCCAACUUAUUUGAAAGCAGCAGAUGAUUUAAUUCCAUGUUGAACCUCUGUCCACAGUGAUUCAUACAGUAUUUUCUUUUACGUUUACUUGAAUGAAUUCAAUCUCUUCUUGUUCUAUACUUGCCCUUAGCUUGGGUCAGAACUUCCCUGGCUCUCAUCCCAUCACGUAUUUACCUCUUUCUUGCAUGUAUUAAAUUCUAUCGUGUCAUUUUAAAACAGUGGUCCCUCUGUGAGGGACGUGUGGUGGUGGUUAGUAGAUGGAGGGAUAGAGGCAACAGGAGGGUUGUCAGACACCACCUUGGUUUCAACUAUGAUAGCUCUGUUUUUUUCUGUUUUAUUUGUUUUUCUUCCCAGUAAGCUUUUAUGUGAGGGCAGAUUAGUUGGCUAAAAUAUAUUUGAAAAUCACCGCAUAUUUUCCUUAAUGAGUCCAUGAUUUUGCAUCAGGUGAUCCAUGAACCUGCUGAAACUGUUUGUAAUAAUUCCUUUCUUCAUACAGACAUAUUUUUCUGAGGAGAGGGCACACAAAUUUCUCAUUUAUUUAGAGAGAUCUAUAACUCACAGCAAAUCAUCUUUGGUCAAAUGUUAUGCAUGACAUCUUACAUUUUCAAAAGGAGAUAUGAUUUAGAAUUACAUUCAAGGAUUUUGAAAGUAUCGAUAUUUAGGAAGUCAUCCCCUGUGUUUCUGUUGGAUCCCUAACAAAAUGAUACAGAAAUGAUGCAAGGAUUCAUCAGCACCAGAAAACAGAAGAGAAAAAAAUGGUUCUUCAAUCCACAUUUAGUUGUGGACAUUCCUGCCUUCUUGGUGUGGUGGCGUACUUGACAUGUGGAGACUGAGAUAUCUUCCUGCUCGGCAGCUUUCUCUGAAACUUGGCUAAAGAGAAAAAUCAGUGAGUCAGAUCAAGUUUAAACAGAAAAACUGUCAGUUUUCUCUUGUUGCAUAGCAAACAUUCUCAACACUUAGUGGCUUAAAAUAACAGCAUUUAUUUUUUUCUCACGAUCCUUUUGGUUGACCGGGUGGUGUAUUACUCCAUGUAGUGUCAGCUGCUUGAAGCUGGGAGCUUGGCCAGAUCACCUCGGUUCUCCACGUGGUGUCUUAUCCUCCAUAAGAUUUUCGUGUGUCUUCUCUCCUAGGAGAAUAGCCUGGAAUUCCUCAUAGCAUGGAGACUGGGUUCCAGGAAGACAAUCCCAGUGUACAAAUGCUUAUCAACCCUCGGCUCGCAUCAUGGCUGCUGACGCGGGGCCAAAGCCAGUCUCAUGUCCGAGCUCAAAAUUAAUAUGGGAGAGAACUCCACAGGCCCCAGUACCGGGAGUGGACUCCUUGUGAACCACCGGUGUAAAGUCUAACACAGAAAAGACUUGAGAAAGUUCUUUGCACCAAACAGGCUGGUAGCUCAUGAUCACGUCUUGUGUCCUGAGGUGUGCAUCUGCUUCACAGAAUCUAUGAAUCCACUCAAGUUAUAUGCAAAGGCUGCGUGAAUAGACAUUUUUUUCGGAUGCAGCUUACAAAGAGAAGUCUGUGGUUCUUCCUUCCAUAUCCCAUCCCUCCGGCUGUAUGCAUAAGGAGGCAAUACCAGGUAGGUCAAUCUGCCUGUGGUACCUGGGAUGAUUGAUGGGUGAAUGAAAUAAAACUGAAGCCAGGGAGACUGAUUUAGAGGUAAUUCAAUAGCCAAAGAAUGGACUGCAAAGGAGCUAGACCAAGGCAGUGGCAAUGGGAAUAAAAAUAAAGGAAUGAAUUGAGAAAUAUUUUAAAAAGUUGACUGAGUGUAUAUAGGUGGUAUAGGCAAGAGAAAGAGAUAAAUGAAAUAAGAUUCAAGAAUUUUAGUUUGUGUCAUUAAAUGAAAAACAGUGAAACUGCUAGAAAUAAUAAAUCCAAAGGGGCAGAUGAUAAGUAGAGAAAGACCAAGGCUUUGAUUCUAAAAAAUAUGAAGGUUAUGGUAGAGACUUCCAGUUGCAGGGGUUCAUUGGCAUUUGGGGCUAUGCAGAGGAAUGGGUAGAUUAAUGUAGUGGCCAGGGGAUCAUCUAGUUGGAUGGAGAAAGAUAUAGGGCAGGAAAAUUGAAGUUUCUCUCUCAAGUUCCUGUUGUUGAGAUUGAUAUAAAUAAGUGAGUUUUGAGUUAAAUAUCCUAUAUUCAAGAACUACUUUGUGAUAACUACUAUUACAUUGUGGUAAAUGUCUGGGAAUUUAGUGAGGUGAUCAAGGUUUAGUAGUUCAUACAUACAUAAAUGUACAUAUACAAAUAACCACAUAGAUUCAAUGAUGAACCUUUCGUCUUAGUUUUCUAUGAUUUAUUUUGGUACCUACUUAUAUCCCUGGACAAGAGUGAUAUAAUUGCAGGUAUGAGGCGAAGGUUUAUCUUACCUAGGAGGCAAAGUUUAUGCCCAUCCCAGAGUUUAGACUGAGCACUUCCCCUUUCUGAGCUCCUCAAGCUUGCCUAAUAAAAAUGGAUCCACAACAGAAGAAAAAACGCAGCUCCAUAAUGCUUCUUUUACUUUUCUUGCGAGUGAAGCAAAUGGAAUUGUCUAGGUAGAGACUAAGUUCUUAGAGAGAUUGGGAGGACCUGGAGGGGAAGAGAUAGGGAAAUGAGUAUUUUUACAUUAAUUUCUCCAUAGUGGGAGGGGAACAUACCCAAGAAUAGAGAGGUGAGACCUCAGCGCUCCGAGUAGUUUUCUACAGACCUGGGAGCUGCAGCUAUGAAAUACCUGGAGUCAGAAGGAGAUCUGCAUCAUUCAUAUCUCUUCAUUGAAUUCUCAGCUCAGUGCCAUCUCAACUCUGUUCGCGUUGGUCACCAUCUCAUCCAGACUCAGCAUAUAGAGCCCCAUCCUCAUUUUGGUAGUGAUCAUCCUGCAUUCAUCAGAUCCCAUGGGUCUUUAGCCAAUGCAAAGACUAAACUGCCCUAAUCUCCCUAAUCUUUAACCAGAUGUAAUGGUAAUGAUAAAUUUCAGGUCAACAGCCAGGAAAGAAAAUGGAAAAACGAGCAAGGAAAUGGACUGCCACCGAGAACUUUCAGAAAGGAACUUAGCUUUAUCAACACCUUGAUUUCAGCCUUGUGAGAUUCUAAGCUGAGUCGACUGGACUUCUGAUCUAUGGAAACUGUGAAAUAAAAAUUUGCGUUGUUGAAAGUGGCUACAUUUGUGGUAAUUUGUUAUGAUAGUAACAGAAAAUUAAUAUAGAUAGUUUCUAGUUUGGGACAAUUAUGAAAAAAACUGUUAUAAAACUUAAAUAUAGAUUUUUUUAAACACAAAUUUUCAUUUAUUUUGGGUAAAUAUCUCGGGGUGUCACAAUCAAUUCUUGUUAUUUGUGGUAGUUAUGUUCUAUAAAGUCACCUUGAACACUGAGUUAGCGAGUAAUGAGACAUUGUUCCUAGGAGAAAUGCAGGGUUAAGUUUCUGUGAGCCUCUAGCCGCAAUGUUUUUGUCAACUGAUCAAUACGUAACUUUGUUUUACAUGUGUUUUCUGUUUAAUGACACCGUAUUUAAUACACAUUGUUGCUUCAUUAACACUGAACUCAUGGCUAACAGCACUGUAACUUGUGGCUCAACAAAACUCAUCUAACACACAUUUUUUCCAUAAGGCACUUUACAGCCUUCUUGAGUUUAAAAACACUAGACAGCACUUCAGCACUACACACCUAGGGGCCAUUUUAAACAGCAAAGUCACCAACAAAAAGAACAAAAAUGCAAAAAAAAAAAAACCAUAGAAAACUAAAUAGACUGAGAAAAGGACACAUUUACAAUAUGAGAGUUAAAACAAGAAGCCAGAGCAUUGCCUUGUUCAAUCUCACCUGGGAAUGUGCAUGUUGAGUGACUCAAAUUUUUUACUGCUCUGUACACGCCAAGGAAUGACCACAAAAGCCUCAUAAGUAUCGAUUUGGGAGUUACAAAUGAAUUUCAGCAAGUGGGCAAAUUCACAAAUGUGGAAUCUGUGAAUAAGGAGAAUUGAUUGUAUUAUUGUACCAUACGGUGAGUGUAUGUUUAGCUUUAUAAGAAAAUGCCAAACUGUUUUCCAGAGUCACUGUACCAUUUUGCAUUCUCACCAGCAAUGAGUGAGAGUUCCAGCUGCCCACUCCCUCACAGUAAUUAGUAUUGUCAGCUUUUCUGAUUUUAGCUAUUCUGAUAGAUAUGUAGUGGAAUCUCAUUGUGGUUAUAAUUAACAUUUCCUUAAUGGCUAAUUACACUGAACAUCUUUUCGUCUACUUAUAUUUCAUCCUUAUAUCUUCUUUGGUGAAGAUAUUUCUGUUCAAAUAUUUUGCUCAUUUAUUAAAAAUUGUGUUGUUUGACUUCUUAUGGCUGUGUUUCAAGAGUUCUUUCUAUAGUAUUCUGGAUGUAAAUCCUUUGUCAGAUAUGUGAUUUGCAAAUGUUUCCUCCUAGGGUAUGGCUUGUCUCUUCAUUCUCUUAAGAAUAUCUUUGGCAUAGCAAAUAUUUUAAAUUUUGACAAAGUCUAAUUUAUUAAUUUUUUCUUUUAUGAGUCAUGCUUUU